Molecule: ribosomal RNA, 87 nt
Filed under: Haloactinopolyspora alba
Lineage: Bacteria; Bacillati; Actinomycetota; Actinomycetes; Jiangellales; Jiangellaceae
Source: RNAcentral
GCCUCCAUUCCGAACCCGGAAGCUAAGCCCUUCAGCGCCGAUGGUACUGCCCUGGAAACGGGGUGGGAGAGUAGGUCACCGCCGGAA